Molecule: ribosomal RNA, 480 nt
Filed under: uncultured bacterium
Lineage: Bacteria
Description: bacterial SSU rRNA
Rfam family: Bacterial small subunit ribosomal RNA
Source: RNAcentral
UUAACACAUGCAAGGUCGAGGGGCGAGCAGGGCAAUAGCUGCUAUGUGCUGGCGACCGGCGCACGGGUGAGUAACGCGUAUCCAACCUACCCCGCGGUCAGGGACAGCCCGGCGAAAGUCGGAUUAAUACCUGAUGCAGUCAGAAGAGGGCAUCUGAUUUUGACGAAAGAUUGAUCGCCUCGGGAUGGGGAUGCGUAGGAUUAGGCAGGCGGCGGGGUAACGGCCCACCGCGCCGACGAUCCUUAGGGGUUCUGAGAGGAAGGUCCCCCACACUGGUACUGAGACACGGACCAGACUCCUACGGGAGGCAGCAGUGAGGAAUAUUGGUCAAUGGGCGCGAGCCUGAACCAGCCAAGUAGCGUGCAGGACGACGGCCCUAUGGGUUGUAAACUGCUUUUAUGCGGGGAUAAAGUGCGGCACGUGUGCCGUUUUGUAGGUACCGCAUGAAUAAGGACCGGCUAAUUCCGUGCCAGCCGCCGC